AAGACUCGUUACCGCCCCUUAUAUGGGGGCAGAGAGACAACCACUCGGGGAUCACCGUAGCACAGGGUUGUUAGCCUGGGGCUUGUGAGUUUGCUUUUUACAAUUUUUUCUUGAUAACUCCACUUGAGUGGAAUAUGCUUCCUUUGGCAUCAUUUAACGACAUGCUCUGAGAAGCCUUAGGUUUCAGCUGGCUGCCACAAAGGUCAAGUACUAGGUUCAGAAGCCUCUCUGUGGAGGAUUGCCCUGCUCACCCUGAACAGCGAAGCUUCCUUCCUAAGGGCGGAGCUUUCCAAGAUCCAGAGCCAGCACUUAGAGGGUUAAAAGUCCUG
RNAcentral lists this long non-coding RNA (329 nucleotides) under Phascolarctos cinereus (koala). RNAcentral describes it as "lncRNA (ENSPCIG00000014710.2)". Lineage: Eukaryota; Metazoa; Chordata; Mammalia; Diprotodontia; Phascolarctidae. The record is from RNAcentral.